GUGCCAGCAGCCGCGGUAAUACGGAGGGUGCAAGCGUUAUCCGGAUUCACUGGGUUUAAAGGGUGCGUAGGCGGAAUUGUAAGUCCGUGGUGAAAUCUCCAAGCUUAACUUGGAAACUGCCGUGGAUACUAUAGUUCUUGAAUGUUGUGGAGGUUUGCGGAAUAUGUCAUGUAGCGGUGAAAUGCUUAGAUAUGACAUAGAACACCGAUUGCGAAGGCAGCAGGCUACACAAAUAUUGACGCUGAGGCACGAAAGCGUGGGGAUCAAACAGGAUUAGAUACCCUGGUAGUCC
RNAcentral lists this ribosomal RNA (292 nucleotides) under uncultured bacterium. RNAcentral describes it as "partial 16S ribosomal RNA". It matches the Rfam family "Bacterial small subunit ribosomal RNA", at positions 505 to 796 of the family's 1533-position model. The record is from RNAcentral.